UGUUUCCCACAGUUCUUUGCGUCGCUCCGUUCCGUUUCCAGUUCCUUUCCUGCAGUGUAACGUGCUUCAGCUUAAACUCAAGGUUUAUUUCUCUGAUUUAUUGUUCAUUUCUCGACUCCUGAAGAAGAUUUUACUGCGCGGGUGAAGACUUUAAAUCGCCAACAUGCCGCGGAUUAUGAUCAAAGGAGGCGUGUGGCGCAACACUGAGGAUGAGAUUCUCAAAGCAGCUGUAAUGAAAUAUGGCAAAAACCAGUGGUCUCGAAUCGCGUCCCUGCUGCACCGCAAAUCAGCCAAACAGUGCAAAGCCAGAUGGUGAGUUUCUAUCCCUCAAGUUAUCUCAACACCAAGUGAUCAGCCAACCUGGACAUCACUUUUCAGCAUCAUAGGCACCGACAGGCCACAUGCUCCCCGUCUACAAACACA
Carassius auratus (goldfish) is the source of this 423-nucleotide long non-coding RNA. RefSeq lists it as uncharacterized. The record is from RefSeq and is a predicted model, not a curated record. The transcript is spliced from 3 exons. NCBI's taxonomy places the organism in Eukaryota, Metazoa, Chordata, Actinopteri, Cypriniformes, Cyprinidae.